This 415-nucleotide ribosomal RNA is filed under the name uncultured bacterium. RNAcentral describes it as "bacterial SSU rRNA". It matches the Rfam family "Bacterial small subunit ribosomal RNA", at positions 355 to 786 of the family's 1533-position model. The record is from RNAcentral.
UCGGGAAUAUUGCGCAAUGGAGGAAACUCUGACGCAGUGACGCCGCGUAUAGGAAGAAGGUUUUAGGAUUGUAAACUAUUUUAGACAGGGAAGAAAAAUGACAGUACCUGUAGAAUAAGCUCCGGCUAACUACGUGCCAGCAGCCGCGGUAAUACGUAGGGAGCAAGCGUUAUCCGGAAUUAUUGGGUGUAAAGGGUGCGUAGACGGGAAUACAAGUUGGUUGUGAAAUCCCUCGGCUCAACCGAGGAACUGCAACCAAAACUAUAUUUCUUGAGUGCAGGAGAGGAAAGCGGAAUUCCUAGUGUAGCGGUGAAAUGCGUAGAUAUUAGGAGGAACACCAGUGGCGAAGGCGGCUUUCUGGACUGUAACUGACGUUGAGGCACGAAAGUGUGGGGAGCAAACAGGAUUAGAUACC